AUGCCUCAGUAACGGCGAGUGAAGCGGCAAGAGCUCAAAUUUGAAAGCUGGCCCCUCCGGGGUCCGCAUUGUAAUUUGCAGAGGAUGCUUCGGGCUCAGCCCCCGUCUAAGUGCCCUGGAACGGGCCGUCGGAGAGGGUGAGAAUCCCGUCUGGGACGGGGUGCCUGGGUCCAUGUGAAGCUCCUUCGACGAGUCGAGUUGUUUGGGAAUGCAGCUCUAAAUGGGUGGUAAAUUUCAUCUAAAGCUAAAUACUGGCCGGAGACCGAUAGCGCACAAGUAGAGUGAUCGAAAGAUGAAAAGCACUUUGAAAAGAGAGUUAAACAGCACGUGAAAUUGUUGAAAGGGAAGCGCUUGCGAUCAGACUCGCCUGCGGGGUUCAGCCGGCAUUCGUGCCGGUGUACUUCCCCGUGGGCGGGCCAGCGUCGGUUCGGGUGGCCGGUCAAAGGCCCCGGGAAUGUGUCGCCCUCCGGGGCGUCUUAUAGCCCGGGGUGCCAUGCGGCCUACCUGGACCGAGGAACGCGCUUCGGCUCGGACGCUGGCGUAAUGGUCGUAAGCGACCCGUCUUGAAACACGGACCAAGGAGUCUAACAUCUACGCGAGUGUUUGGGUGGCAAACCCAUACGCGCAGUGAAAGCGAACGGAGGUGGGAACCCUUCGGGGCGCACCAUCGACCGAUCCUGAUGUCUUCGGAUGGAUUUGAGUAAGAGCGUAGCUGUGGGGACCCGAAAGAUGGUGAACUAUGCCUGAAUAGGGCGAAGCCAGAGGAAACUCUGGUGGAGGCUCGCAGCGGUUCUGACGUGCAAAUCGAUCGUCAAAUUUGGGUAUAGGGCGAAAGAC
This 837-nucleotide small RNA is filed under the name Monascus ruber. RNAcentral's name for it is "LSU rRNA". It matches the Rfam family "Eukaryotic large subunit ribosomal RNA", at positions 73 to 931 of the family's 3401-position model. The record is from RNAcentral. Lineage: Eukaryota; Fungi; Ascomycota; Eurotiomycetes; Eurotiales; Aspergillaceae.